Molecule: transfer RNA, 95 nt
Organism: Fistulina hepatica ATCC 64428
Lineage: Eukaryota; Fungi; Basidiomycota; Agaricomycetes; Agaricales; Fistulinaceae
Rfam family: tRNA
About the family: Transfer RNA (tRNA) molecules are approximately 80 nucleotides in length. Their secondary structure includes four short double-helical elements and three loops (D, anti-codon, and T loops).
Source: Rfam
GGGCGCGUGGUACAGUGGUAGCACGCUUCCUUAGCAUCUGUUCUGGUGUACGAUGUAUUUGGAAGAGGUCCUGGGUUCAAUUCCCAGCGCGUCCA